AAGACACAGCUUCAGUUUUCUCUUUCGUAUGCAUUUAUACCUUGUACGGAGAGGUGAGCGGCAAAGGACGCGUAGGACGCAGGGAAAUCCCAGUGAAGUUAACGAUUAUCCACUUUUUUCGUGACAAUCGUCUUUUUGUUAACAUGUUGAUUUUGUACGGUCGAUGGCCGCAAUAUUCCCGGAAACUCUCGCUUAUCAGCGACACCGUUAAUUUCCACAUGGAUCUCCGCAAUUAUUCGUAAUUUUCAUUGCUCUGAUGCUUUCGACGAAAAUCGAGAAAGUCUGUGUUAAUUUUGGAGAUACGACGAUGAAUUAUGAAGAUAACAGUGAAUCAUGGGCAUGGGGCGAUUUUAAAAAACUGAGAAAGUAGGAUAUUGGGUUUUUUGUAACCUUGACGAUAGAAUGUGUGCCGUGUAUUCAUUUAUGAUAUUUUAUGCAAUAUUUAUUUAUAGAAUAUUCGUAGGAUAUUGGUAAAGUAAUUCUAAGUCAUAGAGUUAUUUAUGUUUUAAUCAUUGUAAUUGCAAUGUAAUCUACCGCAUCGGAAUUACUGAUCAUAUUGUCAAUCAUCCAUUUACAUUAAUAUUGAUUACAGGCGGAGAACAAAAAUAGACGUCAAUUCAUAUGACAUUGGAAAUUCCAUCAAUAUUCCAUUCACAGACGAUUAUUUUGUUGUACUUCAUCAUUAUAAUAUACUCAUUUAUUAUGUAUGCAAAUGCACGAGUUGAUUUUCCUUUUUUUAAAUGACAAUCCCAGCGAAAUGCUUCAAAAGCAAACAGAGGAUUGCGAAACAAUUUAUCUUGCGUAGACGAAAUCACAUAAUACUAAUUUACUUUCGUUUUUUUUUGAAGCGGACUCUUAAUCUUGAAAAAAAACUCAGAAAGAGCACUUUAUCUUCAGUUUUGAAAAUAUAAUUUAUUUUACCAUCAAUUCCGAGUAAUUUUAUAUAAUUUUUUUGCCGUUUUGGCAUCUCAAUGGAAAUUUGAUCAAGAUUGCUUCGAUGGUUUGAAAGAAAAUCACUUAAUGGCCCAUUUGUGGAAAAUGGAUCGUAAAACUGAAAACUUCUUGAAAAGAUAGAGCUUAGGCGUAAAUUUAGCACAAGAUAUUGGGUUGGCAACUAAUAUAUCAGAAUUUAAGCAGAAACGAUAAAAUAUAUAUUUAGCACAUAUGUAUAAGUAGCAUUUUAGUCCGAAUCGAAUAAGCAAUCAUAAAAUAAAUAAUUAAAGGAAGCGAUUCCUUCAAUUUUCUUAAAAUCCUGUCAUCUUUCUUGAUUUGUAGGCUCUAAAUUGCUAACCAAUUAAUAGCCUAUGAAUUACGCCAGAAACAGCAAUAGAGAUUAUCUUAAUGCAAUCAUGAAUCAAUAGGAUGGUAAUUUCUGUGGUCUACGUUUUUCUCCCUGUGCAGAUUCCCUUUUUCCUAGCCUUACCUAUGUCGAUUUUUGUUGCGAUAAAGCUAUUAAGAUAACUUAACACCGUCCGAAUUAUUAUCGAUAACUAGCUAAAUUCGAGAAGCUCGUGUCACGUGUAUAUGUUCGUAUCUCAAUUAGACACCAUUUAAAAACAAAUAACUCGUAUCCCAUUGUAGCGAUAUGAUAUUAGAAAAGCUGAAUUAAAACCGAUGUAAAAGAUUCUUGUGUAAUAGCGGAAUAAUUCGAUGUGCUAUUUGAAAAUCGAAAUAAUUUCUCGAAUAUUUUAAUGAUUUAAUGUGAACAGCGAUAUUUCAAUCACGAUAUAGAGAAUUUAACAAAUGAAAUUUAAUCGUGAGAAAAAUUUUAAUACUACGAUGAUCUGUCUAAAUCACGUUCGAGGAAAAUAGUUUUACAAAAACCUUAUCGUUCCAUGCUAAGACACGUAAUAGCAAUCGGAUGUAUCGUCAUCUGUACAUUUACGUUUGCCAAAUCCAUCAAAAGCAACAAGCAUCCGAAGAAAUCACAAGUUGAUCUACUUUACAUACUGCAACGAUCAAAGUGUAAUAAAAUCGAAAAGCUUGUUAAAAUGUGAUAUCUUGCUUCAGCGUCAUGAAAAUAGAACGAUAGAAUUUCCGAAUAUGGAAUCAUCGAUCACGGAAGUACCUACCUUCAGCGAUAGUACCUCGUUGAAGAUGUUGGAAGAUAUCACAGCCAAAGUUUGGAGAACCUUGCCUGUGAUUAGCAUACCUCGAAGUUGGAUACUUACUUAUUGCGUGAAAUACACUGAGAUUUCUGAAGAUGUUGAGAAAGCAACGAUACAGUGCCAAUACGACGGAACAGACUGGGAUUGCACGUUCAUCGAGUUGGUAAAAACUUGUAAUUCAAGAUCCGUACUCGUACUUUAUAAAUAGGCUUCGAAAAUUUGUAAUGUAAAUUCGUAUCUUUAUAAACGCGAUUAAAAGACUAGAAUCUGGAAAGAGAUUCGUUAAAUAUUACAACGAAUACUUUACUUUGCAUAUACAUUUCCAUAUUAUCUGCAUUCCGAACAUGUUUGCAUCUUUAAACCAAUUACUGAGAAUGCAUAAUUGUCAGAAUUGUAUAUCGCUAUUCUUUUCGUUUCUGUCCAUUGUAAUUUUUAAUAACCCAAGGUACUUUUCUUUUAACUCUUGUCUGUUAUAAUAGCUAAGAACGUAAAUACAUAAAACAUGAAAGAUUAAAUGUAUCAGUAAAAACGAAAAACCGAUGACUGGCAGUUUCCUAUUCUUAGCUAAGACUCUUGUUUAGCAAUUUUCGUUGGCACAUACUGUGAAUAAAUCAAAAGUUAACCAGAGGUAAAUUCAAACAAGAGACAAAAUUCAUAUUUUGACACAAUGCCGUGGAUAUUUAAUGUUCCACUACAUUAAAUUUAUGUUGCCAAUUCUGUAUACUUCAGCAAGGAAGUGACAUUUACCUUGGCAUUUUGCACACACUAUGAUUUAUUACAUAAAAUUGCUUAAUACAAUUACUUAAUACGAUUACUGAAUACAAUUGCUUAAUACAAUCUGUUAUUAUUGGCAAUUUCAAGCAAACGCUAACUGUGAAAGCAUUUUACAAAACUCGAAUUUGACUCAUGAUGAUCUUACUUCUAGAAUCUAAAAUAUCGGCUAAUUAAAUUAAACGAUUCUGUCAUUAUUUUAAGCUACGAAAAAAUAUUGAUUUCUCCGUUAAAGUGAAUAAUUUUUUAAUUAUUUUAAAUCAUUCCUAUAGUUGGUUCGAUCUAUUCGUAUCUUCCUACAAAAUCUAAAAAUAGCUUUAAGAAAAAAAUGUUCACUGAAGUUAGUAAAAACUUAAAUAACAACGAAAAAUCAUUAAUCUCUGUAAAGUUGAUACAACUUCGUUCAAGUAUAAUUGAUAACCAGGGUGGAGGGCAAAACGACUUUAACAUUGGAAAAAUCGUCUCAUUAUUUCACAAUCUUUCUAAUCGUGGAUUGAGAUUAAAACUGCUUCGUGCGGCCGAAAUUUGUGGGAAACUCUGGCAGAGCUACAAACAAAUUCAAGAUAAAAGAUUAAUUCGUAUGCGAUUGAACGUUCACGUGAGUUAAUCGUUAAUUUCUUAAAAAUCGUUUGAUUUGUUCGUUUAAUAUUUAUUCCCAUCGAAGGCAAAGAACAGAGAAAAAAGAUUUUCGAAAAGAAAUUGGAGUUUCCGAGGCUCGGGAACAACAGAAAAGAAUUUAAGAAAGAAAAAGCUGGAGGAUCAUGCCGAGGACGUAAAGAAAAGGAGACGAGCUGCCAAGAAAAUGCAAGCCAUUCGAAGGAACUUGUCAAAUAAGAUUACGGAACUUGAAACUAAAGGCAAAUAAAUAACAUCAGAAUAAAUAUUGGUAAAAAAUAACAGUAUCAUAACGACGACAGUAGCAAAUAAUGAUAAUAUAGAUAGUAGUAAAAAUACCUGACAAGACAAUUUAGAAAAAAUUUUAUUCGAAAGAUUCUAAUCCAAUCUAUAGCUGCACUUUUCAAGUUUAAUAACAAUUUUAAUGAUAUUUUCGUCAUAUUAGUUUUUAAUUUUAAUCGUACAUAACGAUAUCCAACGGUAGAAAAAUUGUACGUAAAAGGGAAAGUAAACUGAUUCUUUUCUAAUUGGAAGCAUUAAAAAAGAAAAUCUUAAAUUAUAUGUAAUAAAUUAAUUUUCUAGAAACUUUAAAUCCAGAAGAAGAAACCGAGCUUAAUCGAUUGCGUUUAACAGUGGCGAGAAGACCUCCUGACAAUUUAGAAGAAUAUUCUCUAGCGAAUGAUCGAGCAGAAUUAUCUCGUCUCCAAGAAAUAGGUUUAUGCUUGACGCAACAGGCUGCAAAAGCUUGUGAAUCCACUGUACUCGAUGCAAUCCAAAAAUUAAUAUAAUAAAACCUCGUAUUUUUCGACGAUACCUAUCAUACAACUACAAUAAACCUUAAAGCUUAGAUUACAGGCGUUAUUUGCCUAUUCUCUGGCCAUUUCUCUGCUAUAAUAAAGACAAGUAUACAUGUAAAUAUAAUAAAGACAAAAACGAAAAGAAUUGAUAAAAGCACGACAGCGAUAGAUAUCUAUCAACAUAGUCAACAAAUAACGAAAGACAUUCAUAUCACAUUUUAGUUGAAUUAAUUCGAUACUUGCAAACAUACAUAAUUAAAUAUAAUUUUUCUGUUUCAUACGCUUUAAAUCAUCUUUGAAUUAAUACCAUUGCUUUUUGCUCUUCUGAUUCCAUAUAUAUUAUAUGUACGAUAAAUCUGGCUUUGUCGUUAUAUAUAACGAACAUUUGCCUCUAAGUUCAAACACUAAUCUUAGAUCAAAUUAAUCUAAAUUAAAUUUCUUAGGUGCACGAUAAAAUAGUAAUACUACGCAUCUAAUAAGCAAAAUAUAUUAUAUUUAUCUUAACGAUUGAGGACUGCUUAUCGCUAUAUCAACAUUUUAUAGCUCUAAUUUCUCGAAUGUGUAUUUUCAUUUCGACACGAGAGAUUCGUCUGUUAUCAUUCUACAUAUGAAAUACUUAACCAUGCUAUCUUACGUAUUUCGUUCAAUUUGAAUACUCAAAUACGUGCAAUCGGAUCACAAAUACGAUCGAACUGUAUCAACUAGAUUUUGGCGAAAUUUUUUUAUGAUCAAAAAGCGAUCCAUUCCAUCAGAUUGUAUAUAUUUACAAUUAUUGGCCUUUCUUCGUCAAUUUUUCAAACUUCAAAGAUAUUUGUACAAUGUUAAUAACGAUAUUAGCAAGCAUGAUUCUUUUAUACUGUCACACGCUAAACGACGGUCGUACCUCUAUAAUAUCAAAUGUCAUGGCACAAGACACCAACACGGAUAUAUAUUUUGAUAAAUUAAAUACCAGUCUGUUCGAAGUAUAUCCCGUAUUGAUUUCACCAAACUGGGUAAAAAUAUGAAAUCAUCGACAAAAGUCUCCAUACAGCGAUAAAAAGUCAGAGUUUUUAUUAAAGUAAAAAAUCAUUAAAAUAUCAUUGCAAAGUUAGUGGAUACUACUUUAAGAAAAACUUCAAACAAAAAGAAUUCUUACUCGGCUAAGAGCUAUAUUAUAUUUUUUCUUCGUAUAACAAUAAUAAAAAACUAAUAUUUCAAAUUACCCUCUAUUUUAAAAAAUUGUCUUUUUAUAAGAUGUACAAAGACUUUAUGUAACAUUAUCACUGAUUGUAUAAAUUCUUUAUUAAAUAUGAAAUACAUCAUACAUAUAUAAAAAUACAUAUAUGAUUCUUGUUAUAACGGAUGAAAUAUUUAUAAAUACAAGUACAGGUAUAAAAAGACAUAUGUAUAUACAAUAUCUUCAAAAUUCUCUCUUUUUUUUUACAAAUACUAAUUAUUGAUAUUUAUAUGCAGAUAUUACAAAUCUGUUUGAAAGAAACUUCGUUAUUAGAUAAAUUACACUCGCAUAUAAGCGAUUGCAGCAAUUAUCCCUGUAUGUUUUCAAAAAUCAUUGAAAACGAGUCGAUGAAAUCCGUUGUAUCCAUAAUACGAAGUGAUACAAUAGACGAUGUCAUCGGUAAGGAGUUCAAACAAAAUAUACAAGACUGUACAGUUUGGUGGAAAUUAUUCAAACAUUUCAAUAAGAAUGCAAGUGCUCGUCGUGAGUUAGGCAGAUGCUUGUUUCAAACGUUUUCAUUCGUAAGCAAUGAUUCAAACAAUGGUGAAAAAAAAGAGGAAUACGUUUAUGAGAGAGAAUGAAAUAAAUUAGAUAAAAAGAAUCUUCAUUAAAACGCAUUAUUUUAUGUUUGUAGAAAUGUAGAGAACCCGUUUUGGAUAAAGUAAGAUUACUCUUAUUUAACACGAAAGAAAAAUGAAGGUAAUAUUAGUAUGGAUCACAGCAUCGGAAUAAUUGAACACUGGAAGAGGAAUAUUAAAAUCUUUUUGUAAAAAGAUCGUUUGUUAAAAAAUAGAACUUUUAUAUAUUUCUCAAAUAUAACAAUUAUACAUUCAGAACACUGUUUUUAUAGGAAUCCUUAAUACUAAUAUCUUCUACAUUUUACGCAAAAUUAUAUAAUUCGUAGGUAUUUGUGUCCCCUGUUGUACAAAUUGAUUUCGUAGCACCCAGAUUUCAUAACACUUAAUACAUAUUAUUAAAAAUAUAAUACUGUAUGCUACAUGUUUUAUCAACACAGACGUAUUAUAUCUAUAAUACACAAUAGCAUUUUAUUGAGGAACUUAAUUGAUAUUAGUAAGAUAAAAGAUUAGUAAGAUAUUUAGAAAAGGAAAAAGUUAACAUUAAAUGUCGAUAAAUCGAAGGUUCUUCAUUCCGGAAAAGGAGGCGGUAGAAGUAAGAAGAGAAAAUGGGAAUGGAAAGAAAAAGAAUUGGAGCAAAUAAUACAAUAUCUUAAAUAUUUAGCAUAUAUUUUUAGUAAAAGCGAGAAAAAUAUAGAACAGUUGAAAGGGUUGAUAAGGAAAGGUAAUCUGGCAUUAAAGCAAAUGUGUGGAAUUGAAGUUUAUUUGACUUAUUGGAAAUAAAUUUAUUUGACAGUCUGGUAAAGAAGCCAAAUUGAUCGGUAUCUAGGGCGAGAUAUAAUAAUUUAAAGGAAACAGAGAUAAUAUUAGGAAAUUGAUAUGAUGACAAACACAGAGUAUGUAUGAUAUGGGGAAUGGGCGAUCCGAUAUAACACUUUCUAAGGCUGUACAGUGGGAUUGAAAAAGGAAAUGUAAAAAUUGAGGAGAUUUUGAGCAAUAAGGGCUCAAAAGAAGGGACAAAAUGGCUAGAGAUGUUGGAUAGAGAAAGGAAGAAGAGGACAGAGAUGUGCGAGUCAAUUGCGGACAACGGUUAGAGCUGAUGUUAAUGGGGUUAAAAGGGAAG
Molecule: long non-coding RNA, 7205 nt
Organism: Bombus terrestris (buff-tailed bumblebee)
Lineage: Eukaryota; Metazoa; Arthropoda; Insecta; Hymenoptera; Apidae
Exons: 2
Source: RefSeq, a predicted model, not a curated record